RNAcentral lists this ribosomal RNA (454 nucleotides) under uncultured Pelotomaculum sp. RNAcentral's name for it is "bacterial SSU rRNA". It matches the Rfam family "Bacterial small subunit ribosomal RNA", at positions 929 to 1382 of the family's 1533-position model. Lineage: Bacteria; Bacillati; Bacillota; Clostridia; Eubacteriales; Desulfotomaculaceae. The record is from RNAcentral.
GCGGUGGAGCAUGUGGUUUAAUUCGACGCAACGCGAAGAACCUUACCAGGGCUUGACAUCCCCUGACCGCGUAUGAAAGUACGUUUUCACCUCGGGUGACAGGGAGACAGGUGGUGCAUGGUUGUCGUCAGCUCGUGUCGUGAGAUGUUGGGUUAAGUCCCGCAACGAGCGCAACCCCUACGUUUAGUUGCUAACGCGUGAAGGCGAGCACUCUAGACGAACUGCCGUUGACAAAACGGAGGAAGGUGGGAUGACGUCAAAUCAUCAUGCCCCUUAUGUUCUGGGCUACACACGUGCUACAAUGGCCGGUACAGACGGACGCAAAGCCGCGAGGUGGAGCAAAUCCUAAAAAGCCGGUCUCAGUUCGGAUUGCAGGCUGCAAUUCGCCUGCAUGAAGUCGGAAUCGCUAGUAAUCGCAGGUCAGCAUACUGCGGUGAAUACGUUCCCGGGCCUU